UGGCGGCAUGCCUAACACAUGCAAGUCGAACGAACCCUUCGGGGUUAGUGGCGCACGGGUGCGUAACGCGUGGGAACCUGCCCUUAGGUUCGGAAUAACUCAGAGAAAUUUGAGCUAAUACCGGAUAAUGUCUUCGGACCAAAGAUUUAUCGCCUUUGGAUGGGCCCGCGUAAGAUUAGGUAGUUGGUGGGGUAAAGGCCUACCAAGCCGACGAUCCUUAGCUGGUCUGAGAGGAUGAUCAGCCACACUGGGACUGAGACACGGCCCAGACUCCUACGGGAGGCAGCAGUGGGGAAUAUUGGACAAUGGGCGAAAGCCUGAUCCAGCAAUGCCGCGUGAGUGAUGAAGGCCUUACGGUUGUAAAGCUCUUUUACCACGGAUGAUAAUGACAGUACCUGGAGAAUAAGCUCCGGCUAACUCCGUGCCAGCAGCCGCGGUAAUACGGAGGGAGCUAGCGUUGUUCGGAAUUACUGGGCGUAAAG
This 482-nucleotide ribosomal RNA is filed under the name marine sediment bacterium ISA-7328. RNAcentral describes it as "bacterial SSU rRNA". It matches the Rfam family "Bacterial small subunit ribosomal RNA", at positions 37 to 565 of the family's 1533-position model. The record is from RNAcentral.